Molecule: transfer RNA, 78 nt
Filed under: Caudoviricetes sp.
Lineage: Duplodnaviria; Heunggongvirae; Uroviricota; Caudoviricetes
Description: tRNA-Lys
Rfam family: tRNA (bases 2-67)
About the family: Transfer RNA (tRNA) molecules are approximately 80 nucleotides in length. Their secondary structure includes four short double-helical elements and three loops (D, anti-codon, and T loops). Further hydrogen bonds mediate the characteristic L-shaped molecular structure. tRNAs have two regions of fundamental functional importance: the anti-codon, which is responsible for specific mRNA codon recognition, and the 3' end, to which the tRNAs corresponding amino acid is attached (by aminoacyl-tRNA synthetases). tRNAs cope with the degeneracy of the genetic code in two manners: having more than one tRNA (with a specific anti-codon) for a particular amino acid; and 'wobble' base-pairing, i.e. permitting non-standard base-pairing at the 3rd anti-codon position.
Source: RNAcentral
GAAUUUAGCUCAGAUGGUAGAGCAAUAUCCUUUUAAGAUAUGUGUCAAUGGUUCAAAUCCAUUAUUUGAUUGUUUACA